Molecule: RNA transcript, 773 nt
Organism: Symphalangus syndactylus (siamang)
Lineage: Eukaryota; Metazoa; Chordata; Mammalia; Primates; Hylobatidae
Gene: TNP2
Gene name: transition protein 2
Source: RefSeq, a predicted model, not a curated record
GGGCUGCCAGGGCCUCCGUAAAGCUAGGCCUGCUGGGAGAGGACAAAGAGGAGGCUCUGCCCCUCCAAACGUGGCCUCCUAUGGACACCAAGAUUCACAGCCUUCCUAUCACCCACACCCAGCUCCAUAGCAACUCUCGGCCCCAAAGCCGCACCUGCAGCCCAUGCACCUGUACCCGCCACUGCCAGACCUUCAGCCAGAGUUGCAGACAGAGGCAGUGUGGCAGCCGGAGCAGGAGCUCCAGCCAGAGCCCAGCCAGCCACCAUAACCUAACUGGAGCCCACAGCUCAUCCGGCUGCCAGAGCCAGAGUACCAACGCCAGUCCACCACCAAAGUGCCACAAAAAGACUAUGAACUCCCACCACUCUCCCAUGCGGCCCACCAUCCUGUGCUGCAGCUGCCCCAAGAACAGAAAGAACUUGGGAGGCAAGCUGAACAAGAAAAAAAUGGCCAAGAGGAUCCAGCAGGUGUACAAAACCAAGAAGCAGAGCUCAGGUACCCUUUAAGGAGGUGGGGAAGGGCCACUGAGCCCACAGAUGAUGGGGAGCAGACUUGGGGGCAGUGAGAAGAAGGCUGCAGCCAGGUCACACAGGAACCACAGGACGGAAAUCCAACUAAUGAGACCACACUCCUUGGCUUGUUCCUGCGUGUUCCACCCAAAUGAGAAAAUGCUAGGAUGAGAAAAUGCUAGGAUGAGGUCAAUCUUCUUGCAGGAACAUGCUACUAUGGUGAUUUCUACGCAACACUAAUUAAAGCUUGUACCUGGAAGACUA